RNAcentral lists this long non-coding RNA (532 nucleotides) under Gallus gallus (chicken). Lineage: Eukaryota; Metazoa; Chordata; Aves; Galliformes; Phasianidae. The record is from RNAcentral.
AAGGAUCUCUCGGAAACAAAGGAAAUGGAGCAGAGAGAACUGUUACAGUGACAGGGAAACCAAACAGUCAGACUUAGUGAAAGGUAUUUUCUACCUUAAAACCAGGAAAACAAUCACUUACCUCUUAGAGAGGAUGCAUCAAGGUGCCUGUAUAUCCCUCUCACUAAAGAUCUCCAGGUAUGGUGUUGAAACUGACUGCAUUAGUCCGACUACAAAAUACAGAAAAACAAACAUGCCCCCUGCUCUCCAUUCAACAGGAUUCUCGCUCUUUUUCAAAGCUUUGGAACAGAUUGGAUGAUAAAAAGAAAUGCUCUUAAGUGGAGUUUAGACUUUUGCGUGGUAUUACAUCCUGCAAGAAGUAAUGUAUUGACAAGGUAGUUGUAGGCAGAUCAAGCUUGAGUGAAACAAUUCAGAUGCUCCCUUUCACAGUAAGAAUUGCAUUAAAUGAUAUUUGCCAAAGACUUGUAUGUAAUUUUCUUCAUGGUAAGAAACUGAUUUCAGCAAAACUUGGAAGGGACCGCAAAUAGUACCG